Molecule: ribosomal RNA, 468 nt
Filed under: uncultured bacterium
Lineage: Bacteria
Description: partial 16S ribosomal RNA
Rfam family: Bacterial small subunit ribosomal RNA
Source: RNAcentral
GACGAACGCGGGCGGCGUGCUUAACACAUGCAAGUCGAACGGAAAGGCCCUUCUUUUUUGGGGUGCUCGAGUGGCGAACGGGUGAUUAACACGUGAGUAACCUGCCCUUUACUGUGGGAUAACUUCAGGAAACUGGGGCUAAUACCGGAUAGGAGCUCCUGCUGCAUGGUGGGGGUUGGAAAGUUUCGGCGGUUGGGGAUGGACUCGCGGCUUAUCAGCUUGUUGGUGGGGUAGUGGCUUACCAAGGCUUUGACGGGUAGCCGGCCUGAGAGGGUGACCGACAACAAUGGUACUGAGAUACGGCCCAGACUAGUACGGGAGGCAGCAGUCGGGAAUAUUGCACAAUGGGCGCAAGCCUGAUGAAGCAACGCCGCGUGAGGGAUGACGGACUUCGGGUUGUAAACCGCUUUAGCCUGUGACGAAGCGUGAGUGACGGUAAUGGGUCAAGAAGCACCGGCUAACUACGUG